UACUUGGAUAACCGUGGUAAUUCUAGAGCUAAUACAUGCUAAAAAUCCCGACUGUUUGGAAGGGAUGUAUUUAUUAGAUAAAAAAUCAAUGCUCUUUGAGCUCUUUGAUGAUUCAUAAUAACUUUUCGAAUCGCAUGGCCUUGUGCUGGCGAUGGUUCAUUCAAAUUUCUGCCCUAUCAACUUUCGAUGGUAGGAUAGUGGCCUACCAUGGUUUCAACGGGUAACGGGGAAUAAGGGUUCGAUUCCGGAGAGGGAGCCUGAGAAACGGCUACCACAUCCAAGGAAGGCAGCAGGCGCGCAAAUUACCCAAUCCCGACACGGGGAGGUAGUGACAAUACAUAACGAUACAGGGCCCUUUCGGGUCUUGUAAUUGGAAUGAGUACAAUGUAAAUACCUUAACGAGGAACAAUUGGAGG
This 416-nucleotide ribosomal RNA is filed under the name [Candida] sp. GLH-2008. RNAcentral describes it as "SSU rRNA". It matches the Rfam family "Eukaryotic small subunit ribosomal RNA", at positions 136 to 554 of the family's 1831-position model. Lineage: Eukaryota; Fungi; Ascomycota; Saccharomycetes; Saccharomycetales. The record is from RNAcentral.